GGAUUCCCCUAGUAGCGGCGAGCGAAGCGGGAAGAGCUCAAAUUUAUAAUCUGGCACCUUCGGUGUCCGAGUUGUAAUCUCUAGAAAUGUUUUCCGCGCUGGACCGCACACAAGUCUGUUGGAAUACAGCGGCAUAGUGGUGAGACCCCCGUAUAUGGUGCGGAUGCCCAGCGCUUUGUGAUACUUUUUCGAAGAGUCGAGUUGUUUGGGAAUGCAGCUCAAAUUGGGUGGUAAAUUCCAUCUAAAGCUAAAUAUUGGCGAGAGACCGAUAGCGAACAAGUACCGUGAGGGAAAGAUGAAAAGCACUUUGGAAAGAGAGUUAACAGUACGUGAAAUUGUUGGAAGGGAAACGCUUGAAGUCAGACUUGCUUGCCGAGCAAUCGGUUUGCAGGCCAGCAUCAGUUUUCCGGGAUGGAUAAUGGUAGAGAGAAGGUAGCAGUUUCGGCUGUGUUAUAGCUCUCUACUGGAUACAUCUUGGGGGACUGAGGAACGCAGUGGCCUUUGGCGGGGGUUUCGACCUCUUCACACUUAGGAUGCUGGUGGAAUGGCUUUAAACGAC
Molecule: ribosomal RNA, 559 nt
Filed under: Rhodotorula sp. CBG_17CCH
Lineage: Eukaryota; Fungi; Basidiomycota; Microbotryomycetes; Sporidiobolales; Sporidiobolaceae
Description: eukaryotic LSU rRNA
Rfam family: Eukaryotic large subunit ribosomal RNA
Source: RNAcentral